CCUACGGGGGGCAGCAGUGGGGAAUAUUGGGCAAUGGAGGCAACUCUGACCCAGCAACGCCGCGUGAGCGAUGAAGGUCUUCGGAUUGUAAAGCUCUUUAAGCGGGGACGAAGAAAGUGACUGUACCCGCAGAAUAAGCCUCGGCUAACUACGUGCCAGCAGCCGCGGUAAUACGUAGGAGGCAAGCGUUAUCCGGAAUGACUGGGCGUAAAGGGUGCGUAGGUGGUUUGGCAAGUUGGUAGCGUAAUCCCGGGGCUCAACCUCGGUGCUACUACCAAAACUGUUGAACUUGAGUGCAGGAGGGGUGAAUGGAAUUCCCAGUGUAGCGGUGAAAUGCUUAGAUAUCACGAAGAACUCCGAUUGCGAAGGCAGCUUACUAAACUGCCACUGACAUGGAUGCUCGAAAGUGUGGGUAUCAAACAGGAUUAGAUACCCUAGUAGUC
This 443-nucleotide ribosomal RNA is filed under the name uncultured bacterium. RNAcentral describes it as "partial 16S ribosomal RNA". It matches the Rfam family "Bacterial small subunit ribosomal RNA", at positions 338 to 795 of the family's 1533-position model. The record is from RNAcentral.